RNAcentral lists this ribosomal RNA (570 nucleotides) under Triticum aestivum (bread wheat). Its description in RNAcentral is "partial small subunit ribosomal RNA". The record is from RNAcentral. Lineage: Eukaryota; Viridiplantae; Streptophyta; Magnoliopsida; Poales; Poaceae.
AUGCGUCAAGUCCAGGAGCUACUCGACAAAGGUUAUAUUCGCGAAUCCCUUGGUCCUUGUGUUGUUCCUAUUAUUCUAGUGCCGAAAAAAGAUGGUACAUCGCGUAUGUGUGUCGAUUGUAGAGGCAUUAAUAAUAUUACUAUUCGUUAUCGUCAUCCUGUUCCUAGGCUAGAUGAUAUGCUUGAUGAAUUGAGUGGCUCCACAAUAUUCUCCAAAUUUGAUUUAAGUAGUGGAUACCAUCAAAUUCGUAUGAAAUUGGGAGAUGAAUGGAAAACAACAUUCAAAACUAAGUUUGGUUUAUACGAGUGGUUAGUCAUGCCUUUUGGGUUAACUAAUGCACCUAGUACUUUCAUGAUAUUAAUGAACAAAGUUUUACAUGCUUUCAUUGAACGAUUUGUGGUAGUCUAUUUUGAUGAUAUACUAAUUUAUAGUAAAUCUUUGGAGGAACAUUUGAAACAUUUAUGUGAUGUUUUUAUUGCUCUACGUGAUGCACGUUUGUUUGGUAACAUUGGAAAGUGCACCUUUUGCACUGACCGAGUAUCUUUUCUUGGCUAUGUUGUUACUCCAUAG